This 342-nucleotide ribosomal RNA is filed under the name Triticum aestivum (bread wheat). RNAcentral describes it as "partial small subunit ribosomal RNA". The record is from RNAcentral. Lineage: Eukaryota; Viridiplantae; Streptophyta; Magnoliopsida; Poales; Poaceae.
AUGAUAUCUAUCAACUUUUCCCAGAUCAAAAUACAAUAUAUUUUUCUUCAAAAAGAGCUCCAAAUACAACUGACUUUUCGUUGUUUAAACUUUACUAAUAUUGUCGUGUGUGUAUUAGCUCUGAAGUAUGUUCUGAAAGAAUAUGUAAUAUUUUCGUGUUGCAUCCAUUUGUGGAGAGUUUAUCUAAAUGCUCAAUGCAUGAACUUCACAACCCCCUUAGAGCUCCUUCUGGUUUGUGUUGUUUUCUUGUACUAUGGAUUUAAGGUGAUUCUCGAGGGGAACAAGUCGCCAUGGACCGGCGAGAUCAAGAGAGGCUCCACGGUUGUGAGGAGCGCCGACUAA